GUGAAGACGAGACACAAAUCUAUGUGGCUUCCGAACAACACGAUCCGAAACCCCGCAUUUUUUUAUUUUUUUAAUAUUUUUCAUUUACUUAGGAGCACUAAAGAAGUAACCACAGAAAAUUUGAGCUUAAUCAAGUAAAAGACGUGGCCUGCGGAAUUUUGUGAAGAUUACAAAAAAUGUGAAAAAAACUUCACAAGGUGAAAACUCAAACUUCGAAGACGAAUUUGGAGAUUCUAAAAUUUUCAAACCCCCUAAAACUGAGGACAGACAGACACUAAAUUUUUUUUUGAUCGAUUUUGAUAUAUGGAACAUUGAAAUCGGAGUUUGUAUGUGAAAGUUAUGGCUGUUUUACGAACGGACUCCGAAUUUGAGGACAAAACGGUCCGAAAGUGGGAAAAAGUUGCGUCGAUGGCUAGAAAUUGAUGGAAACGGUGGGAAAAAACACAAACUGGACUCUAACAAGACCUAACCAGCAACAAGACCUCGUCCAGGACACAAACUCAAAACUGCGGACUCGGAAACUGAAAUAUGCAAAGGCUAUGGCGCGGAAGGGUUGUAGGACACAAAAAUGAUAUGGCACUGGACUUAUGGGACAAACACAAGAACACUCGAAACUAAGGUUAGAUGUGAACCUAACGGUAUACCUGAACCUUUGAUUACCACUUGAUGAGAACAAGGGUGGCCCGAUCUUCCGAAAGGUUCUGUUAACUCUCGAUUUGGUGGAGACGAGACACAAAUCGAUCCGGCUUCCGAACAACACGAUCCGAAACCCUGCAAUUUUUUUUAUUUUUUUGAUAUUUUUCUUUUACUUAGGUGCACUAAAGAAGUAACCACAGAAAAUUUGAGCUUAAAUAAGUGAAAGACGUGGCCUGCGAAAUUUUCUAAAUUUUGUGAAAAAAGUUUAAAAAACUUCACGAGGUGAAAACUUAAACUUCGGAGGCGUAUUUGGAAAUUCUAAAAUUUUCAAACCCGCUAGUGGUAGGGACAGGCAGACCCAAAAUUUUUUUCUGAUUGAUUUUGAUAUAUGGAACAUUGAAAUCGGAGUUCGUACGCGAAUGUUAUGGCUAUUUUACGAACGGACUCUGAAUUAGAGAACAAAACGGUCCGAAAGUGGGAAAAAUUUGUGGCGAUGGCUAGAAAUUGAUGGAAACGGUGGGGAAAAACAUACUAACUGGACUCUAACAAGACCUAACCAGCAACAACCUCGACCAGGACACAAACUCAAAACUGCGGACUCUGAAUCUGAAAUAUGCAAAAGCUAUGGCGCGGAAGGGUUGUAGAACAGGAAAACAAUAUGGCACUGGACUUAUGGGACGAACACAAGAACACUCGAAACUAAGGGUAGAUGUGAACCUAACGGUAUACCUAAAGCUUUGAUUACCACUUGAUGAGAACAAGGGUGGCCCGAUCUUCCGAAAAGUUUUGGUAACUCUCGAUUUGGUGGAGACGAGACACAAAUCGAUACAGCUUCUGAAUAACACGAUCCGAAACCCUGCAUUUUUUUAUUUUUUUGAUAUUUUUAUUUUACUUAGGAGUGCUAAAGGAGUAACCACAGAAAAUUUGAGCUUAAGCAAGUGACAGACAUGGCCUGUGGAAUUUUCUGAAGAUUGUGAAAAAUGUGAAAAAACUUCACGUAUUGGAAACUCAAACUUCGGAGGCGAAUUUCAGGAUUCUAAAAUUGUCAAACCUGCGAAAGUUAGGGACAAACAGAUUUGAAAUUUUUUCUGAUUUAUUUUGAUAUAUGAAACGUUGAAAUCGGAGUUCGUAUGCGAAGGUUAUGGCUGUUUUACGAACAUACUUCGAAUUAGAGGACAAAACGGUUCGAAAAUGGGAAAAUUUUGCGGCGGUGGCAAGAAAUUGAUGGAAACGGUGGGGAAAAGAUAUGAACUGGACUCUAACAAGACCUAACCAGCAACAAAACCUCGACCAGGACACAAACUCAACACUGCAGACUCUGAAACUGAAAUAUGCAAAGGCUAUGGCGCGGAAGGGUUGUAGGACAGGAAAACGAUAUGGCACUGGACUUAUGGGACGAACACAAGAACACUCAAUACUAAGGUUAGAUGUGAACCUAACAGUAUACCUGAAGCUUUGAUUACAACUUGAUGAGAACAAGGGUGGCCCGAUCUUCUGAAAGGUUCUCAUAACUCUCGAUUUGGUGAAGACGAGACACAAAUCGAUCUGGCUUCCAAACAACACAAUCCGAAACCCCGCAUUUUUUUAUUUUUUUAAUAUUUUCCUUUUACUUAGGAGCACUAAAGAAGUAACCACAUAAAAUUUGAGCUUAAUCAAGUAAAAGACGUGGCCUGCGGAAUUUUGUGAAGAUUACAAAAAAUGUGAAAAAAACUUCACAAGGUGAAAACUCAAACUUCGAAGACGAAUUUGGAGAUUCUAAAAUUUUCAAACCCCCCAAAACCGAGGACAGACAGACACUAAAUUUUUUUCUGCUCGAUUUUGAUAUAUGGAACAUUGAAAUCGGAGUUUGUAUGUGAAAGUUAUGGCUGUUUUACGAACGGACUCCGAAUUAGAGGACAAAACGGUCCGAAAGUGGGAAAAAGGUUCGGCGAUGGCUAGAAAUUUAUGGAAACGGUGGGAAAAAAAAUACAAACUGGACUCUAACAAGACCUAACCAGCAACAAGACCUCGACCAGGACACAAACUCAAAAUUGCGGACUCAGAAACUGAAAUAUGCAAAGGCUAUGGCGCGAGAGGGUUGUAGGACACAAAAAUGAUAUGGCACUGGACUUAUGGGACAAACAUAAGAACACUCGAAACUAAGGGUAGAUGUGAACCUAACGGUAUACCUGAAGCUUUGAUUACCACUUCAUGAGAACAAGGGUGGCCCGAUCUUCCCAAAGGUUCUGUUAACUCUCGAUUUGGUGGAGACGAGACACAAAUCGAUCCGGCUUCCGAACAACACGAUCCGAAACCCUGCAAUUUUUUUUUAUUUUUUUGAUAUUUUUCUUUUACUUAGGUGCAUUAAAGAAGUAACCACAGAAAAUAUGAGCUUAAACAAGUGAAAGACGUGGCCUGCGGAAUUUUCUAAAUUUUGUGAAAAUGUGAAAAAAACUUCACGAGGUGAAAACUUAAACUUCGGAGGCGUAUUUGGAAAUUCUAAAAUUUUCAAACCCGCUAGUGGUAGGGACAGGUAGAGCCGAAAUUUUUUUCUGAUUGAUUUUGAUAUAUGGAACGUUGAAAUCGGAGUUUGUACGCGAAUGUUAUGGCUAUUUUACGAACGGACUCCGAAUUAGAGAACAAAACGGUCCGAAAGUGGGAAAAAUUUGCGGCGAUGGCUAGAAAUUGAUGAAAACGGUGGGGAAAAACAUACUAACUGAACUCUAACAAGACCUAACCAGCAACAACCUCGAUCAGGACACAAACUCAAAACUGCGGACUCUCAAUCUAAAAUAUGUAAAAGCUAUGGCGCGGAAGGGUUGUAGAACAGGAAAACAAUAUGGCACUGGACUUAUGGGACGAACACAAGAACACUAGAAACUAAGAGUAGAUGUGAACCUAGCGGUAUACCUAAAGCUUUGAUUACCACUUGAUGAGAACAAGGGUGGCCCGAUCUUACGAAAAGUUAUGUUAACUCUCGAUUUGGUGGAGACGAGACACAAAUCGAUACAGCUUCUGAACAACACGAUCCGAAACCCUAUAUUUUUUUUAUUUUUUUGAUAUUUUUAUUUUACUUAGGAGUGCUAAAGGAGUAACCACAGAAAAUUUGAGCUUAAGCAAGUGAAAGACAUGGCCUGUGGAAUUUUCUGAAGAUUGUGAAAAAUGUGAAAAAACUUCACGUAUUGGAAACUCAAACUUCGAAGGCGAAUUUUAGGAUUCUAAAAGUGUCAAACCCGCGAAACUUAGGGACAACCAGAUCUGAAAUUUUUUUCUGAUCGAUUUUGAUAUAUGAAACAUUGAAAUCGGAGUUCGUAUGCGAAAGUUAUGGCUGUUUUACGAACAGACUUCGAAUUAGAGGACAAAACGGUCCGAAAGUGGAAAAAUUUUGCGCCGGUGGCCAGAAAUUGAUGGAAACGGUGCGGAAAACACAUGAACUGGACUCUAACAAGACCUAACCAGCAACAAGACCUCGACUAGGACACAAACUCAACACUGCGGACUCUGAAACUGAAAUAUGCAAAGGCAAUGGCGCGGAAGGGUUGUAGGAAAGGAAAACUAUAUAGCACUGGACUUAUGGAACGAACACAAGAACACUCAAAACUAAGGCUAGAUGUGAACCUAAUGGUAUAUAUGAAGCUUUGAUUACCAUUUGAUGAGAACAAGGGUGGCACGAUCUUCUGAAAGGUUCUAGUAACUCUCGAUUUGGUGAAGACGAGACACAAAUCGAUAUGGCUUCCGAACAACACGAUCCGAAACCCCGCAUUUUUUUUAUUUUUUUAAUAUUUUCCUUUUACUUAGGAGCACUAAAGAAGUAACCACAGAAAAUUUGAACUUAAUCGAGUAAAAGACGUGGGCUGCGGAAUUUUGUGAAGAUUACACAAAAUGUGAAAAAAACUUCACAAGGUGAAAACUCAAACUUCGAAGACGAAUUUGGAGAUUCUAAAAUUUUCAAACCCCCUAAAACCGAGGACAGACAGACACUAUAUUUUUUCUGAUCGAUUUUGAUAUAUGGAACAUUGAAAUCGAAGUUUGUAUGUGAAAGUUAUGGCUGUUUUACGAACGGACUCCGAAUUAGAGGACAAAACGGUCCGAAAGUGGGAAAAUUUUGCGGCGGUGGCAAGAAAUUGAUGGAAACGGUGGGGAAAACACAUGAACUGGACUCUAACAAGACCUAACCAGCAACAAGACCUCGACCAGAACACAAACUCAACACUGCGGACUCUGAAACUGAAAUAUGCAAAGGUUAUGGCGCGGAAGGGUUGUAGGACAGGAAAACGAUAUGGCACUGGACUUAUGGGACGAACACAAGAACACUCAAAACUAAGGGUAGAUGUGAACCUAACGGUAUACCUGAAGCUUUGAUUACCACUUGAUAAGAACAAGGAUGGUCCGAUCUUCUGAAAGGUUCUGGUAACUCUUGAUUUGGUGGAGACGAGACAUAAAUUGAUCCGGCUUCCGAACAACACGAUCCGAAACCCUGCAAAUUUUUUAUUUUUUUGAUAUUUUUCUAUUACUUAGGUGCACUAAAGAAGUAACCAUAGAAAAUUUGAGCUUAAACAAGUGAAAGACGUGGCCUGCAGAAUUUUGUGAAGAUUACAAAAAAUGUGAAAAAAACUUCACAAGGUGAAAACUCAAAAUUCGAAGACGAAUUUGGAGAUUCUAAAAUUUUCAAACCCCCUAAAACCGAGGACAGACAGACACUAUAUUUUUUCUCAUCGAUUUUGAUAUAUGGAACAUUGAAAUCGAAGUUUGUAUGUGAAAGUUAUGGCUGUUUUACGAACGGACUCCGAAUUAGAGGACAAAACGGUCCGGAAGUGGGAAUAAUUUGUGGUGGUGGCUAGAAAUUGAUGGAAAUGGUGGGCAAAAACAUACCAACUAGACUCUAACAAGACCUAACCAGCAACAUCCUCGACCAGGACACAAACUUAAAAUUGCGGACUCUGAAACUGAAAUAUGCAAAGGCUAUUGCGCGGAAGGGUUGUAGGACAAGAAAACGAUAUGGCACUGGACUUAUGGGACGAAUACAAGAACACUCGAAACUAAGGGUAGAUGUGAACCUAACGGUAUACCUGAAGCUUUAUUACCACUUGAUGAAAUCAAGGGUGGCCCGAUCUUUCGACAGGUUCUGGUAACUCUCGAUUUGGUGGAGACGAGACAUAAAUCAAUGCGGCUUCCAAACAACGCGAUCUGAAACCCUGCAAUUUUUUUAUUUUAUUGAUAUUUUUAUUUUACUUAGGAGCAUUAAAGAAGUAACCAUAGAAAAUUUGAGCUUAAACAAGUAAAUGACGUGGCCUGCUGAAUUUUCUGAAGAUUGCGAAAAAUGUGAAAAAAACUUCACAAGGUGAAAACUCAAACUUCGGAGGUGAAUUUGGAGAAUCUAAAACUUUCAAAGCCGCAAAUAGCAGUGACAGACAGAUCCGAAUUUUUUUGAUCGAUUUUGAUAUAUCGAACAUUGAAAUCGGAGUUUGUAUGUGCAAGUUAUGGCUGUUUUACGAACGGACUCCGAAUUAGAGGACAAAACGGUCCGAAAGUGGGAAAAACUUGCAGCGAUGGCUAGAAACUGAUGGAAACGUUGGGGAAAAAACACGAACUGAACUCUAACAAGACCUAACCAGCAACAAGACCUCGACCAGGACACAAACUCAAAACUGCAGACUCGGAAACUGAAAUAUGCAAAGGCUAUGGCGCGGAAGGGUUGUAGGACACAAAAACGAUAUGGCACUGGACUUAUGGGACGAACACAAGAACACUCGAAACUAAGGGUAGAUGUGAACCUAAAUAUAUACCUGAAGCUUUGAUUACUACUUGAUGAGAACAAGGGUGGCCCGAUCUUCCGAAAGGUUCUGUUAACUCUCGAUUUAGUGGAGACGAGACACAAAUCGAUCCGGCUUCCGAACAACACGAAGGCAAACCCUGCAAUUUUUUUAUUUUUUUAUGUUUUUCUUUUACUUAGGUGCACUAAAGAAGUAACCACAGAAAAUUUGAGCUUAAACAAGUGAAAGACGUGGCUUGCAGAAUUUUCUAUAGAUUGUGAAAAAUGUGAAAAAAACUUCACGAGGUGAAAACUUAAACUUCGGAGGUGUAUUUGGAAGUUCUAAAUUUUUCAAACCCGCUUGUGGUAGGGACAGGCAAACCCGAAAUUUUUUCUGAUUGAUUUUGAUAUAUGGAACGUUGAAAUCGGAGUUCGUACGCGAAUGUUAUGGCUAUUUUACAAACGAACUGCGAAUUAGAGUACAAAACGGUCCGAAAGUGGGAAAAAUUUGCGGCGGUGCCCAGAAAUUGAUGGAAACGGUGGGGAAAAACAUACUAACUGGACUCUAACAAGACCUAACCAGCAACAACCUCGACCAGGACACAAACUCAAAACAACGGACUCUGAAUCUGAAAUAUGGAAAAGCUAUGGCGCGGAAGGGUUGUAGAACAGGAAAACAAUAUGGCACUGGACUCAUGGGACGAACAUAAGAACACAAGAAACUAAGGGUAGAUGUGAACCUAACGGUACACCUAAAGCUUUGAUUACCACUUGAUGAGAACAAGGGUGGCCCGAUCUUCCGAAAGGUUUUGGUAACUCUCGAUUUGGUGGAGAUGAGACACAAAUCGAUACGGCUUAUGAACAACACGAUCCGAAACCCUACAUUUUUUUUAUUUUUUUGAUAUUUUUAUUUUACUUAGGAGCACUAAAGGAGUAACCACAGAAAAUUUGAGCUUAAACAAGUGAAAGACAUGGCCUGUUGAAUUUCUCAAGAUUGUGAAAAAUGUGAAAAGAACUUCACGUAUUGGAAACUCAAACUUCGGAGGCGAAUUUCAAGAUUCUAAAAUUGUCAAACACGCAAAAGUGAGGGACAAACAUAUCUCAAAUUUUUUCUUAUCGAUUUUGAUAUAUGGAACGUUGAAAUCGGAGUUCGUAUGCGAAAGUUAUGGCUGUUUUACGAACAGACUCCGAAUUAGAGGACAAAACGAUCCGAAAGUGGGAAUAAUUCGCGGUGGUGGCUAGAAAUUGAUGGAAAUGGUGGGGAAAAACAUACGAACUAGACUCUAACAAGACCUAACCAGCAACAUCCUCGACCAAGACACAAACUCAAAAUUGCGGACUCUGAAACUGAAAUAUGCAAAGGCUAUUGCGCGGAAGGGUUGUAGAACAAGAAAACGAUAUGGCACUGGACUUAUGGGACGAAUACAAGAACACUCGAAACUAAGUGUAGAUGUGAACCUAACGGUAUACCUGAAGCUUUAUUACCACUUGAUGAGAUCAAGGGUGGCCCGAUCUUUCGACAGGUUCUGGUAACUCUCGAUUUGGUGGAGACGAGACACAAAUCAAUGCGGCUUCCAAACAACGCGAUCUGAAACCCUGCAAUUUUUUUAUUUUAUUGAUAUUUUUAUUUUACUUAGGAGCAUUAAAGAAGUAACCAUAAAAAAUUUGAGCUUAAACAAGUAAAAGACGUUUCCUGCAGAAUUUUCUGAAGAUCGCAAAAAAUGUGAAAAAAACAUCACAAGGUGAAAACUGAAACUUCGGAGGUGAAUUUGGAGAUUCUAAAACUUUCAAACCCGUAAAUAGCAGUAACAGACAGAUCCGAAUUUUUUUGAUCGAUUUUGAUAUAUGGAACAUUAAAAUCGGAGUUUGUAUGUGCAAGUUAUAGCUGUUUUACGAACGGACUCUGAAUCAGAGGACAAAACGGUCCGAAAGUGGGAAAAAGUUGCAGCGAUGGCUAGAAAUUGAUGGAAACGUUCGGAAAAAAACACGAACUAGACUCUAACAAGACCUAACCAGCAACAAGUCCUCGACCAGGACACAAACUCAAAACUGCAGACUCGGAAACUGAUAUAAAAAGGCUAUGGCGCGGAAGGGUUGUAGGACACAAAAACGAUAUGGCACUGGACUUAUGGGACGAACACAAGAACACUCGAAACUAAGGGUAGAUGUGAACCUAACGGUAUACCUGAAGCUUCGAUUACCACUUGAUGAGAACAAGGGUGGCCGGAUCUUCUGAAAGGUUCUGUUAACUCUCGAUUUGGUGGAGACGAGACACAAAUCGAUCCGGCUUCCGAACAACACGAAGGCAAACCCUGCAAUUUUUUUUAUUUUUUUGAUAUUUUUCUUUUACUUAGGUGCACUAAAGAAGUAACCACAGAAAAUUUGAGCUUAAUCAAGUGAAAGACGUGGCCUGCAGAAUUUUGUAAAGAUUGUGAAAAAUGUGAAAAAAAACUUCACAAGGUGAUAACUUAAACUUCGGAGGUGUAUUUGGAAAUUUUAAAAUUUUCAAUCCCGCUAGUGGUAGGGACAGGCAAACCCGAAAUUUUUUCUGAUUGAUUUUGAUAUAUGGAACAUUGAAAUCGGAGUUCGUACGCGAAUGUUAUGGCUAUUUUACGAACAGACUCCGAAUUAGAGAACAAAACGGUCCGAAAGUGGGAAAAAUUUGCGGCGGUGGCUAGAAAUUGAUGGAAACCUGCGGACUUUGAAUGUGAAAUAUGCAAAAGCUAUGGCGCGGAAGGGUUGUAGAAUAGGAAAAUAAUAUGGCACUGGACUUAUGGGACGAACACAAGAACACUCGAAACUAAGGGUAGAUGUGAACCUAACGGUAUACCUAAAGCUUUGAUUACCACUUGAUGAGAACAAGGAUGGCCCGAUCUUCCGAAAGGUUCUGGUAACUCUCGAUUUGGUGGAGACGAGACACAAAUCGAUACGGCUUCUGAACAACACAAUCUGAAACCCUUCAUUUUUUUAUUUUUUUGAUAUUUUUAUUUUACUUAGGAGCACUAAAGGAGUAACCACAUAAAAUUUGAGCUUAAACAAGUGAAAGACAUGGCCUGUGGAAUUUCUGAAGAUUGUGAAAAAUGUGAAAAGAACUUCACGUAUUGGAAACUCAAACUUCGGAGGCGAAUUUCAGGAUUCUAAAGUGGUCAAACCCGCGAAAGUUAGGGACAAACAGACCUGAAAUUUUUUUCUGAUCGAUUUUGAUAUAUGGAACGUUGAAAUCGGAGUUCGUAUGCAAAAGUUAUGGCUGUUUUACGAACAGACUCCGAAUUAGAGGACAAAACGGUCCGAAAGUGGGAAAAAUUUGCGGCGGUGGCUAGAAAUUGAUGGAAACGGUGGGGAAAACACAUGAACUGGACUCUAACAAGACCUAACCAGCAACAAGACCUCGACCAGGACACAAACUCAACACUGCGGACUCUGAAACUGAAAUAUGCAAAGGCUAUGGCGUGGAAGGGUUGUAGGAUGGAAAAACGAUAUGGCACUGGACUUAUGGGACGAACACAACACUCAAAACUAAGGGUAGAUGUGAACCUAAUGGUAUACCUGAAGCUUUGAUUACCACUUGAUGAGAACAAGGGUGGCCCGAUCUUCUGAAUGGUUCUGGUAACUCUCGAUUUGGUGAAGACGAGACACAAAUCGAUCUGGCUUCCGAACAACACGAUCCGAAAUCCCGCAUUUUUUUAUUUUUUUAAUAUUUUCCUUUUACUUAGGAGCACUAAAGAAGUAACCAUAGAAAAAUUGAGCUUAAACAAGUAAAAGACGUGGCCUGCGGAAUUUUGUGAAGAUUACAAAAAAUGUGAAAAAAACUUCACAAGGUGAAAACUCAAACUUCGAAGACGAAUUUGGAGAUUCUAAAAUUUUCAAACCCCCUAAAACCGAGGACACACAGACAGACACUAAAUUUUUUUCUG
This 10281-nucleotide long non-coding RNA is filed under the name Sorghum bicolor (sorghum). RNAcentral describes it as "long non-coding RNA (SBIC_LNC004794)". The record is from RNAcentral. Lineage: Eukaryota; Viridiplantae; Streptophyta; Magnoliopsida; Poales; Poaceae.